GACGAACGCUGGCGGCGUGCUUAACACAUGCAAGUCGAACGGAAAGGCCCUGCUUUUGUGGGGUGCUCGAGUGGCGAACGGGUGAGUAACACGUGAGUAACCUGCCCUUGACUUUGGAAUAACUUCAGGAAACUGGGGCUAAUACCGGAUAGGAGCUCCUGCUGCAUGGUGGGGGUUGGAAAGUUUCGGCGGUUGGGGAUGGACUCGCGGCUUAUCAGCUUGUUGGUGGGGUAGUGGCUUACCAAGGCUUUGACGGGUAGCCGGCCUGAGAGGGUGAACGGCCACAUUGGGACUGAGAUACGGCCCAGACUCCUACGGGAGGCAGCAGUGGGGAGUAUUGCACAAUGGGCGGAAGCCUGAUGCAGCAACGCCGCGUGCGGGAUGACGGCCUUCGGGUUGUAAACCGCUUUCGCCUGUGACGAAGCGUGAGUGACGGUAAUGGGUAAAGAAGCACCGGCUAACUACGUG
RNAcentral lists this ribosomal RNA (468 nucleotides) under uncultured bacterium. RNAcentral's name for it is "partial 16S ribosomal RNA". It matches the Rfam family "Bacterial small subunit ribosomal RNA", at positions 28 to 507 of the family's 1533-position model. The record is from RNAcentral.